AAUACCGCGUGGUACACCAGUGGGGCAUCCCACGGGUGUUAAAAGGAAGCGAUUCCGGCGGAGGAUGGGCAUGCGGCGCAUUAGCUUGUUGGCGGGGUAACGGCCCACCAAGGCGACGAUGCGUAGGGGUUCUGAGAGGAAGGUCCCCCACACUGGUACUGAGACACGGACCAGACUCCUACGGGAGGCAGCAGUGAGGAAUAUUGGUCAAUGGGCGGGAGCCUGAACCAGCCAAGUCGCGUGAGGGAAGACGGUCCUAUGGAUUGUAAACCUCUUUAGGCGGGGAGCAAUGCCGGGCACGCGUGCCCGGAGGGAGAGUACCCGCAGAAUAAGCAUCGGCUAACUCCGUGCCAGCAGCCGCGGUAAUACGGAGGAUGCGAGCGUUAUCCGGAUUUAUUGGGUUUAAAGGGUGCGUAGGCGGAUUUUUAAGUCAGCGGUAAAAUGUCCGGGCUCAACCCGGGCCGGCCGUUGAAACUGGGGAUCUUGAGUGGGCGAGAAGUAUGCGGAAUGCGUGGUGUAGCGGUGAAAUGCAUAGAUAUCACGCAGAACUCCGAUUGCGAAGGCAGCAUACCGGCGCCCGACUGACGCUGAGGCACGAAAGCGUGGGGAUCGAACAGGAUUAGAUACCCUGGUAGUCCACGCAGUAAACGAUGAAUGCUAGUUGUCCGGUUCUUUGGGACUGGGUGACACAGC
This 693-nucleotide ribosomal RNA is filed under the name uncultured bacterium. RNAcentral describes it as "bacterial SSU rRNA". It matches the Rfam family "Bacterial small subunit ribosomal RNA", at positions 165 to 852 of the family's 1533-position model. The record is from RNAcentral.